Wyeomyia smithii (pitcher-plant mosquito) is the source of this 592-nucleotide long non-coding RNA. RefSeq lists it as uncharacterized. The record is from RefSeq and is a predicted model, not a curated record. Lineage: Eukaryota; Metazoa; Arthropoda; Insecta; Diptera; Culicidae. The transcript has 5 exons.
CAACUAUCUGUGUCAGUAGUGAACACCAAAUCGAGAAAACAAUUAUUUUGAUUUGGUAAACUACACACUUGCAGCAGUCCAACAGAAAGAAAACUGUCAACAACAGCUAUCUCGGCCUGAGAGUUGAUUCGGUUUGGUUCAAAUCAACGACUACUACCACGUCAUCAUUUGGUCCUAUACAUUCUGCAAUUGAUUCAACGAACGAGCAGAAAGAGCGAUAACGAUCAACACUAGAGCCACUGCGUGUUCUGUGCUAGCAAUAUGAUUGUAGACUGCAAUCAAAACACCACCGCCGGAUUUUUUAUCGCUAUUAGAGAUGUUUCUGUCGCAGCGAUAUACGGUAAAGUGCGGAGGAAAAAGUGACCUAUCUGUUACAGUUGAAUCAAGGUUUUCGAGCAGUCAACAAAGUUGUAGAAGCCAAUGAGCACGAAGUUGAAACUGGCGCAGGUUUUUGAUUAUUACUGUGUACUGGCAAGCGGUGUAAGAAAGUUGUCAGAAGUGGGCUCACUAUCCUUACAUUCGGGUCGAAAUGGCAUCGACAUAGGUUCAUUCACAAAUUCCCGAAAAUAAAUACCUUUUUGCCAGCUCGAGG